AACAGGAUUAGAUACCCUGGUAGUCCACGCCCUAAACGAUGUCUACUAGUUGUCGGGACUUAGUUGUCUUGGUAACGCAGCUAACGCGUGAAGUGGACCGCCUGGGGAGUACGGUCGCAAGAUUAAAACUCAAAGGAAUUGACGGGGACCCGCACAAGCGGUGGAUGAUGUGGAUUAAUUCGAUGCAACGCGAAAAACCUUACCUACCCUUGACAUGGUUGGAAUUCCGAAGAGAUUUGGAAGUGCUCGCAAGAGAACCAAUACACAGGUGCUGCAUGGCUGUCGUCAGCUCGUGUCGUGAGAUGUUGGGUUAAGUCCCGCAACGAGCGCAACCCUUGUCAUUAGUUGCUACAUUCAGUUGAGCACUCUAAUGAGACUGCCGGUGACAAACCGGAGGAAGGUGGGGAUGACGUCAAGUCCUCAUGGCCCUUAUGGGUAGGGCUUCACACGUCAUACAAUGGUACAUACAGAGGGCUGCCAAACCGCGAGGUGGAGCUAAUCCCAGAAAGUGUAUCGUAGUCCGGAUUGUAGUCUGCAACUCGACUACAUGAAGUUGGAAUCGCUAGUAAUCGCGGAUCAGCAUGUCGCGGUGAAUACGUUCCCGGGUCUUGUACACACCGCCCGUCACACCAUGGGAGCGGGUUUCGCCAGAAGUAGGUAGCUUAACCGUAAGGAGGGCGCUUACCACGGCGGGGUUCGUGACUGGGGUGAAGUCGUAACAAGGUAACC
RNAcentral lists this ribosomal RNA (729 nucleotides) under uncultured bacterium. RNAcentral describes it as "bacterial SSU rRNA". It matches the Rfam family "Bacterial small subunit ribosomal RNA", at positions 771 to 1501 of the family's 1533-position model. The record is from RNAcentral.